Brachypodium distachyon (stiff brome) is the source of this 2670-nucleotide long non-coding RNA. RefSeq lists it as uncharacterized. The record is from RefSeq and is a predicted model, not a curated record. The transcript is spliced from 5 exons. Lineage: Eukaryota; Viridiplantae; Streptophyta; Magnoliopsida; Poales; Poaceae.
CCACCUUUCCCUCGAAAAAAAAGCCCAAAAUCGUGCCUGUGGUUCGGUUGGAAUCGGGGUGGCGUUCCGGCAGCGACUGGCGAGCGGCUGCAGCUGGAAUUGCGGCGAGCCUAGGCGGCGGCCGCGGUUGGGGAACGCGGCUGAGAGGGGCGGCGCGCGAGAGCAGACGCUCGCCGCCGCCGCCGCCGCCGCUUGGGGAAGACGCAGUCGGCGGCGGCUACCACCACCCCAAGGUCCACCGCUGACGGAAACCAGCGUCCUAUCGACGAUGUCUUCCCAGAACUGCAGCGACGACAUGGAGCUUAGAAGAGCUAGAUUAGGGAGGGGUUGUCAUGGCUAGCUGCGGCUCUUGUUGGAGGGUUUCUCGCGCCGUCGCUGCUUGCUGCUACAGCUGCCGGCGCCGCUGGUUGCUGCUAGGUGCCGCUGCCGGCUGCCGCCGUACUCUAAUCUUGCCUCCCGUCGCAGCCACCAGAACCUGUGUGUCCUCGUUGCUCGUCCACCAAGGAGGGGAAAAAGGAGAUGGCAGGGAGAUAGCCAGCACCCCUGUUGCAGGUUUGCUCUGUCCGCACAAGCAGGAGCCUGGGAAGAGGGAUAGAAAGACAGAAUUAAAGAACAGGAUUUUGGAAACCCAGGCAGAAUCACCUUCACCUUCUCGGCUUAGUCAACCAAUUGCAGGAUUCGGUUUCAGCGGGAGCAGGGCGCACUGGAGUUUCUUUUGAUGUCGUUAUGAAAUCAGGAGGCUGGGGUGAUAUUACCAAGGUGGAAAUGGAUCCAUUGUUGUUGCCGCUGCUACUGGAAAAAAAGAUCUUGCUGUUGAUGCCUUGCAGACUGAAGCUAUCGCAGCUGAACUUGUUAUCUAUUUGGCAAAUGAUCUUGCUGUCUCUCAAAAAAAGUUGGCAAAUGAGCUUGGUUUUUACACGCCUAUGAGAUUUUCUCUUGCUUUAGCUUGUCGGCAACCCAUUCAUCCAUCAGAAGUUCCUUGUGCUCUGCUGUGACUUGAGGUAUCGUCUUCCUUCCCUGGUGAUACUCUCUUCUCGAUCCCCUUGUGCCUAAUUGCUCAGAUGGAAAUGCUCCAGGUUGUGAUUCAAUCAAUGAAGAAAGAAAAUGUAUGCCAUGAAAAGAUAAAGGCUUGUUAUAUGGCUUACUUCCUAUAUUUGUUGAUCUGAUAAUUGCCCAAGAGGAUCUAGAUUAUAUCUUGCUGUAUCCAGAUGAAGUGUUGGAUUACUAUACAAUUUCAAAUACCAUGUCAUAAAAAUAAGUGAACUGACAAUAGUGCAUUUGGAGUAAAAUUCACUAAUAACCAUCUAAAGAAGGCUCCACUGCACCAAUUCAAUUGAACUAGAGUAAGAAGCAUAAUUUUUAAGUACGUUCAGGACUAUACAUCCUCUGGAAGAGAAAGUAAACAGGGAGAGAAAACAGUGCACAUCCUCUUUUCUUAUUUGUAUUCGUCCUACUUUUCUUUAGCCGAGGCUGAAAGUAAGCAUCUUGUGGUCAUGUAUUAAUGUUCUAAUUCUCCCACUUUCCUCUCAGCUUUUUCCUUCAAUCUUAUGAUAGCUUUUCACCUAAAAGUCACAGUAUUCCUCUAUUAUUUACACACAAACCAGUUAAUCAAAAGCUGAAAUGAUGUGAGUUAAUUAGGUAAAUAGCUGAACUGAUGUGAGUUCGUUAGGUUUUCCUGUUACUUGGCUUGCCCAAUGGAUAUUAGUUGGCUUGCUCAACAGAAACAGAAUUGUGAUAAUUUGGGAUUGGGGAAGGGGGACAUAUUUUAAGAUUAUAAUAUUUGUCUCAGCACAAAUAUAAGCAACAAGCUCUUAUCUCUUCCACUAUUUCAUUCCUAUAGAAUGUUUGUUUUCAUAAACUUUUAUAACUUACAAGUAGUGUUUAGCUGGCACAAUAUAAAAAUGUUAAUAGUACAUACACAAGAUUGCUUCUCUCUUGCAAUGUAGCCCUUCAUAUUAUGACUCUGCAUUCCAGGAAGUCUAUGUGCUCAAAGAAUAACCCUCCGUCAUAUUAGAACCCAUGUUUAAAUGGUCAAUUCUUGUUCCAAACAAAUUAUGGAUCUAUCCAAACUAAUUAUGGAUCUAGAUGAGGAGAGAUUGCAAAACCAGACAUAUUGUUUUAUGAUUCAUGGUUCUCACAAUUUUGUUUCCGGUUUUCUUCAAAGUAAUAUUUUGCAGGUUGUUGCCUCUUGAAAUGAGCAAAUUGACCUGGGCACUUCUCAUGACUCAGCUUUCAGGCAAAUCAUUUUCUAUGACUGCCAGUGUAGAUCAUGCCAUGAUUAACGUGGCUUUUUCUUGAGAAUAUUACCACUCCUUCACUUAGGCAUCAGCAGAGAAUGUUGAAAAUGGAGUAUAAACACUGCAAUCUCAUCAAAAAAGACCUCUCGGAAGAUCAUUUGCCGAACAAAUUGUUCUAUAUGCAAAGAAAUUUCAACAUCUAUAUGAAGUUCAGGAGACGGAUCCUAGAUAACUCUUGCAAUUUGUCACGGCUCUCUUUUUUUUGAGGGAAAAUUUGUCACGGCUCUUUUUUUUUGGGAAAAUUUGUCACGGCUCUCUCAGUGUAGUUAGCAUUGGAAAGUGAAGUGAUCACAUUACCUGUUCCUGAAAUUAGUUAACUGUGCUGAGUUACUUCUCAGCUCUCGCCCAAAGGAAAAAGUAUACUUUGUGUCCA